This 433-nucleotide ribosomal RNA is filed under the name uncultured bacterium. RNAcentral's name for it is "partial 16S ribosomal RNA". It matches the Rfam family "Bacterial small subunit ribosomal RNA", at positions 29 to 507 of the family's 1533-position model. The record is from RNAcentral.
AACGAACGCUGGCGGCAUGCCUAACACAUGCAAGUCGAACGAGACCUUCGGGUCUAGUGGCGCACGGGUGCGUAACGCGUGGGAACCUGCCCUUAGGUUCGGAAUAACUCCCCGAAAGGGGUGCUAAUACCGGAUAAUGUCUUCGGACCAAAGAUUUAUCGCCUUUGGAUGGGCCCGCGUUGGAUUAGCUAGUUGGUAGGGUAAAAGCCCACCAAGGCGACGAUCCAUAGCUGGUCUGAGAGGAUGAUCAGCCACACUGGGACUGAGACACGGCCCAGACUCCUACGGGAGGCAGCAGUGGGGAAUAGUGGACAAUGGGCGAAAGCCUGAUCCAGCAAUGCCGCGUGAGUGAUGAAGGCCUUAGGGUUGUAAAGCUCUUUUACCCGGGAUGAUAAUGACAGUACCGGGAGAAUAAGCUCCGGCUAACUCCGUG